RNAcentral lists this transfer RNA (88 nucleotides) under Laccaria amethystina LaAM-08-1. It matches the Rfam family "tRNA". From Rfam's summary of the family: Transfer RNA (tRNA) molecules are approximately 80 nucleotides in length. Their secondary structure includes four short double-helical elements and three loops (D, anti-codon, and T loops). Lineage: Eukaryota; Fungi; Basidiomycota; Agaricomycetes; Agaricales; Hydnangiaceae. The record is from Rfam by way of RNAcentral.
GCCCGCCUAGCUCAAUCGGAUAGAGCGUCAGACUCUUAGGCGGGUCCAUAUGAUCUGAAGGCUGCGAGUUCGACCCUCGCGGUGGGCU